UAAAAAACUGGAACAACUAAAUACUCCUUCUUUACAUAUAUUAACCAAAAAUCUUAACAUUUUGUAUGACCUCCUUUGGCCCUCAUAACAGCUUGCAUCUUUGCUGGGAUUGUUCUUAUUUACUUUUCGACAGUCUCUUUUGUUUAUGAGUUUCAAAGCUGUUCCCAGAGACUUGAUUUGGAUGAAAUUUUUGUGCGAUCUAUUUUUGAAUUCAAUCAAUCCAUUUGUUCAAUGACCUGCUUCGUUUGCUGCCUCUGCGACCUGGCCUCAGAUGAGCGGGAGACAAUGGAUAGAUGGAUGGAUUCAAGUCUGGACUUUGACUUGGCCAGUCCAUCAGUUCCAGUACUCCGGAUUCCUUUUUCUUUGUCGAGUAGUCUCUGCACAGUUUUGAAGUAUGAUUGGGGUCAUUGUCUUCUUGGUCUGUGAAUCCACAACCAAUCAGGUUCAAUCUAGAAGGGAUUCCAUGAUGCACUAAGAUGAUGUGGUCGAAUUUCUUGUUCAUGAUACCAUGGAUUUGAACUAAUUUGUCCAUGUCGUUUACACAAAUGGAACCCCAUACCAUAAUGGAAUCUCCACUGUGUAUCACUAUGGAGAUUCAAAACAUUCUCCAGCUUUUCUGUGGACAUAAAGACCGAAGAGUUCAUAUUUGUUUGCAUUGUGCUAUUUGAAGUUUUUAUUAGUGUAUAGUGCUAAGAUUGUGCUUUAAAGAGCAUGAAUGAAACAGCAGUUUUAAAAUAGUUUGACUUUACUAUUACUAACAUUCUUGAGCUUCUGUGACUCACAUCUUACUCAUAUCUUUCUCAUCACGCAAACUUUUCCAUUGUUGCACUUUCUCAUCACUGAAAGCAGUGUUUGCUUUCUGUUUCCUGAUAUAUGCUUUGAAUUUUCACAGUGCUUCAACAAACCUGUAGCUCAGUUAUUGGCAGAUGAAUAAACUGCAAAUAGCUUAAUCACAAUUUUGGAUUUUCUCACAGAUGAUUUCAUACAUGUCUAACAGCAUAAAUCGCAGUGUGCGUACAGGGCUGACAUCUCUGUAUUCGAAAAUAAUCUUGCCACUGUUGCACAUACUGUAACACCUGUACUAAUGCAAAAAAUGAAAUAGAUACCACACCAUCAGACAGAGUGUGGGUGAAGGCUAUGCUUAAUUUCCUCUGCACUAGUUGUUGGACCACUUCCGAUAUGUCAACUUGAAUUUGGUGUUCGCUUGCGAUGGAGAUGCUCUGAUGUAUCUUUUGAUGAGCUGUUAUUUUGUAACCAUGAAGGGGGUGUUUGCUUUCUGUUCAGUAUUGUCUUUCUUUCCACAGAGACAGGAACUCCUCAACCAUGAUGCAAAAAGGUUUUAUUCUUAUUUUUAUACAGAUUAUUUGGAUGUUAUCCACCUCCUCAGGAGACAGUAAGUAACUAACUAAACCAUUAAUAUCAGAAUAUAUUUGAAAUACAUUUUUGUAAACUUACUUUGGCUCAGGGUUUACAUUUUUCAAGCAACUAUUCAUAUUUAACAACUUAUGUUUUAAAAGCAGCGCUUCACCUUCAUUUCUUGUUGGGAUGUAAAGCUGUGAUACCUUGUCAAGAUUACAGCCGGGACUCAGACUCUUUCAAAUGGUUUUACACGAAGAAUGAAACUAGCAAGCAAAUCCUGAUAUUUUUUCAAGACAAGACUGGAGUACAACGCCAUCAACGCAGUCAUCCUAGAAGAAAAGUUGCCAACAAUCGAUCCUUGGUCAUCGGGUCUUUUACUGAGAAUGAUCAAGGAAUGUACUGGUGUGAAAACUGUUAUAAAGACAAGUGCCUGAGUCAGCAGCCCACAGUCAUCAGAGUCACGAAAGAAAUUCUGCAUGAAAUUCAACAGACAUUUUAUAUUACUGCAGGCAGCAGUUUUGAGCAUUCAUGUCCAAGUGAGUUUAAUAAAUUGGACCUAAAAUGGAUUUUUGAACCGAGUAGUGCUGCUGCUAGCAGGAAAUCAGUAUCAAGACCUGAAAUAGUGACUUCCAACAAGUCUAUACAUAUUGUAAAUGUCAGCAGAGCAGAUGCUGGGAACUAUACCUGCUUGAUGAGGAAAUGUGGUAAACACUGGCAGAAGCUACUUACUGUCAACCUGUGUGUAAUUACAGGUGAGGAACGAGCACACACACACAAAUUCUUUCACAUAAAAAAAACAAAGAAAGAUGUAACUUGCAAUCUUUUUUUGCUGCAUUACAGUUCACCACAAUAAGGAUUCAUGCAUCUCUUGUGCUGUGAUGUGUGAUGUGGACUUCAAAUGUGAAGGUAGGCACAACGACUAUAUCAGUGGAUGUAGAUGCAAAUGGAUCCUUAAGCUGCAGAGCAGAACAGAACUUUGAUGGAUCCACCACAGUUACCAGCACUCACGUACCAUCAACUGCAUUCAACAAAACAGCAGGUAUGCCUGCAGAGCCUGAACAUCUGAUGCCAGUUAUUUGUGGAUUACCAGUAGUCCUUGCAUGUCUCAGUUUAAUGGCACUUUUAAUCUUUUACUUCAGAUCAAGAUUUUGGGCAGCAUGUCCCAUUCACCUUUGUAGCUGUGGCUCGAAUGGCAGGGUAGAAGAGGAGACUUCAGUGGUUUAUUCAUCAAUCAUCAUCAGGACUACCGCUGAAGCAAACACUCAUGUGACUUACAAUGAUUGUAUUUAUAGUGAAAUAAAUGUAUAGAGAAAAUGUCCAAGUAUAAGAUGAUCAGUAAAUGACACUUGUCAUUAUACUUUAAUUCUUUUUGUCAUAUGAUUUAGUAAUUGAUUCCUUCAUUGCUUAAUACAUUACUUGUAAUUCAUAAGAAAACCUGUAUGUGACUUUGCCCACCAUGUGGGCAGUCGGUGGUAAGCAAAGUCAUGAAAUUUCUGAGGAAAUUCUGAAGCACUGAGCUUCAGUUUUCCAGUUUUCAGACUUACUAAUAAUUGCUGAUUGAAUUCUUUGCAUAAUAGAAAAAUGUUUUUUGUUUUUUUUUACUUACCAGACCUCAGAAAUAUCCUCCCUAAAACAGGAAAGAAGGGUGUUUCAUACUAUAUCAGUCCACAACAAAAAUAAAAGGCUUUG
Amphiprion ocellaris (clown anemonefish) is the source of this 3048-nucleotide long non-coding RNA. RefSeq lists it as uncharacterized. NCBI's taxonomy places the organism in Eukaryota, Metazoa, Chordata, Actinopteri, Pomacentridae. The record is from RefSeq and is a predicted model, not a curated record. The transcript has 5 exons.